UGGGGAAUAUUGGACAAUGGGCGAAAGCCUGAUCCAGCCAUGCCGCGUGUGUGAAGAAGGUCUUCGGAUUGUAAAGCACUUUAAGUUGGGAGGAAGGGCAGUAAGCGAAUACCUUGCUGUUUUGACGUUACCGACAGAAUAAGCACCGGCUAACUCUGUGCCAGCAGCCGCGGUAAUGCAGAGGGUGCAAGCGUUAAUCGGAAUUACUGGGCGUAAAGCGCGCGUAGGUGGUUCGUUACGUUGAAUUUGAAAGCCCCGGGCUCAACCUGGGAACUGCAUCCAAAACUGGCGAGCUAGAGUAGGGCAGAGGGUAGUGGAAUUUACUGUGUAGCGGUGAAAUGCGUAGAUAUAGGAAGGAACACCAGUGGCGAAGGCGACCACCUGGGCUCAUACUGACGCUGAGGUGCGAAAGCGUGGGGAGCAAACAGG
RNAcentral lists this ribosomal RNA (429 nucleotides) under Pseudomonadota bacterium. RNAcentral's name for it is "Proteobacteria bacterium partial 16S ribosomal RNA". It matches the Rfam family "Bacterial small subunit ribosomal RNA", at positions 355 to 776 of the family's 1533-position model. The record is from RNAcentral. Lineage: Bacteria; Pseudomonadati; Pseudomonadota.